GAGCUGCAACUGGGCCUUGUUCUCUGGUCCAAUUAAUACGUUAUUACUAGACCGAAAUAUUGUGGGCCUAUGUAGUUACUAGUGGAUCCGUCCAAUCCAUCGAAGGAAGAAUAAAAUAUGAAAUCGAGAAAUAAGAAAAGUUGUAUUUGCAGUAGUUGUUCGAUUCGUAUUUCGAGUGAGAGCUGAAAUCGCAGAGGGACAAGAUGAUAUACCGAAAGUGGAGUCUGUUAACGGGCCCGGUGGCUAUCUUGGCCGGGAUCGUCGCUACGGUGGUCGUCGCUGACUUGCUUUUCAUUGAGAACGAUCGAUUUUUUAAACGAGAAGAAAGGAAGCCAGAUGCACCAUCAGCCACCAAAUAGAAGGGGAGCAAAACCACUUUAUGAAUGUUAUGUAAGAUUUUUCUGGUGGUUUGUGUUUGUUAAGUAUGUUUCGGCAAAACGUGUAUCUUUAAGAUGCAAUUUGGGACAAGAGUUCAUAGUUAAAUAAUAUGCAGGUUCUUGAUCAAGUUUCAAGUGCA
Long non-coding RNA from Jatropha curcas, 517 nucleotides. RefSeq lists it as uncharacterized. The record is from RefSeq and is a predicted model, not a curated record. Lineage: Eukaryota; Viridiplantae; Streptophyta; Magnoliopsida; Malpighiales; Euphorbiaceae.